Molecule: unclassified non-coding RNA, 391 nt
Filed under: soil metagenome
Description: partial contains 5.8S ribosomal RNA, internal transcribed spacer 2, and large subunit ribosomal RNA
Rfam family: 5.8S ribosomal RNA (bases 1-122)
Source: RNAcentral
GAUGAAGAACGUAGCGAAAUGCGAUACUUGGUGUGAAUUGCAGAAUCCCGUGAACCAUCGAGUCUUUGAACGCAAGUUGCGCCCGAAGCCAUUAGGCCGAGGGCACGCCUGCCUGGGCGUCACACGUCGUUGCCCCCCCAUCUACUCCUUCGGGAUUGCGGGGGGCGGAUGAUGGCCUCCCGUGCGCCUCGUCGCGCGGUUGGCAUAAAUGCCAAGUCCUCGGCGACGCACGCCACGACAAUCGGUGGUUGCGAAACCUCGGUUGCCCGUCGUGUGCGGUCGUCGCGCAUCGAGGACUCGAAAAAAUUGCCGGGCUCCGGCUCGGCUUUCAACGCGACCCCAGGUCAGGCGGGGUUACCCGCUGAAUUUAAGCAUAUCAAUAAGCGGAGGA